RNAcentral lists this ribosomal RNA (958 nucleotides) under Acinetobacter baumannii TG27307. Its description in RNAcentral is "bacterial SSU rRNA". It matches the Rfam family "Bacterial small subunit ribosomal RNA", at positions 8 to 960 of the family's 1533-position model. Lineage: Bacteria; Pseudomonadati; Pseudomonadota; Gammaproteobacteria; Moraxellales; Moraxellaceae. The record is from RNAcentral.
AGAGUUUGAUCAUGGCUCAGAUUGAACGCUGGCGGCAGGCUUAACACAUGCAAGUCGAGCGGGGGAAGGUAGCUUGCUACUGGACCUAGCGGCGGACGGGUGAGUAAUGCUUAGGAAUCUGCCUAUUAGUGGGGGACAACAUCUCGAAAGGGAUGCUAAUACCGCAUACGUCCUACGGGAGAAAGCAGGGGAUCUUCGGACCUUGCGCUAAUAGAUGAGCCUAAGUCGGAUUAGCUAGUUGGUGGGGUAAAGGCCUACCAAGGCGACGAUCUGUAGCGGGUCUGAGAGGAUGAUCCGCCACACUGGGACUGAGACACGGCCCAGACUCCUACGGGAGGCAGCAGUGGGGAAUAUUGGACAAUGGGGGGAACCCUGAUCCAGCCAUGCCGCGUGUGUGAAGAAGGCCUUAUGGUUGUAAAGCACUUUAAGCGAGGAGGAGGCUACUUUAGUUAAUACCUAGAGAUAGUGGACGUUACUCGCAGAAUAAGCACCGGCUAACUCUGUGCCAGCAGCCGCGGUAAUACAGAGGGUGCGAGCGUUAAUCGGAUUUACUGGGCGUAAAGCGUGCGUAGGCGGCUUAUUAAGUCGGAUGUGAAAUCCCCGAGCUUAACUUGGGAAUUGCAUUCGAUACUGGUGAGCUAGAGUAUGGGAGAGGAUGGUAGAAUUCCAGGUGUAGCGGUGAAAUGCGUAGAGAUCUGGAGGAAUACCGAUGGCGAAGGCAGCCAUCUGGCCUAAUACUGACGCUGAGGUACGAAAGCAUGGGGAGCAAACAGGAUUAGAUACCCUGGUAGUCCAUGCCGUAAACGAUGUCUACUAGCCGUUGGGGCCUUUGAGGCUUUAGUGGCGCAGCUAACGCGAUAAGUAGACCGCCUGGGGAGUACGGUCGCAAGACUAAAACUCAAAUGAAUUGACGGGGGCCCGCACAAGCGGUGGAGCAUGUGGUUUAAUUCGAUGCAAC